This 481-nucleotide ribosomal RNA is filed under the name uncultured bacterium. RNAcentral describes it as "partial 16S ribosomal RNA". It matches the Rfam family "Bacterial small subunit ribosomal RNA", at positions 28 to 507 of the family's 1533-position model. The record is from RNAcentral.
GAUGAACGCUGGCGGCGUGCUUAACACAUGCAAGUCGAACGAAGCACUUUAUUUGAUUUCCUUCGGGACUGAUUAUUUUGUGACUGAGUGGCGGACGGGUGAGUAACGCGUGGGUAAUCUGCCUUGUACAGGGGGAUAACAGUUGGAAACGGCUGCUAAUACCGCAUAAGCGCACGGCAUCGCAUGAUGCAGUGUGAAAAACUCCGGUGGUAUAAGAUGGACCCGCGUUGGAUUAGCUAGUUGGUGAGGUAACGGCCCACCAAGGCGACGAUCCAUAGCCGACCUGAGAGGGUGACCGGCCACAUUGGGACUGAGACACGGCCCAAACUCCUACGGGAGGCAGCAGUGGGGAAUAUUGCACAAUGGGCGAAAGCCUGAUGCAGCGACGCCGCGUGAGCGAAGAAGUAUUUCGGUAUGUAAAGCUCUAUCAGCAGGGAAGAUAAUGACGGUACCUGACUAAGAAGCACCGGCUAAAUACGUG